This 86-nucleotide transfer RNA is filed under the name Verrucomicrobiales bacterium. Its description in RNAcentral is "tRNA-Tyr". It matches the Rfam family "tRNA". From Rfam's summary of the family: Transfer RNA (tRNA) molecules are approximately 80 nucleotides in length. Their secondary structure includes four short double-helical elements and three loops (D, anti-codon, and T loops). Lineage: Bacteria; Pseudomonadati; Verrucomicrobiota; Verrucomicrobiia; Verrucomicrobiales. The record is from RNAcentral. RNAcentral also lists the same sequence under 1 other name.
GGUGGGAUACCCAAGCGGUCAACGGGGGCAGACUGUAAAUCUGCUGGCUGACGCCUUCGCUGGUUCGAAUCCGGCUCCCACCACCA